Molecule: long non-coding RNA, 1042 nt
Organism: Mugil cephalus (flathead mullet)
Lineage: Eukaryota; Metazoa; Chordata; Actinopteri; Mugiliformes; Mugilidae
Exons: 6
Source: RefSeq, a predicted model, not a curated record
UGGUUCCUCUCCUCCUCCUGGUUCCUCUCCUCCUCCUGGUUCCUCUCCUCUCCUCCCUGUGUUCUUGUCUCUUUCUUCUUUCUGUUCUCUGGUUCUCCUGGUGGUUCUGAUUUUCCUGGUGAGACGAUGUGUUCGUAGGAAACAUGAAGCUGUUGAAGACGUUGUCAGAGAUGACAUCACGUACAGUGACGUCAAAAUAUCAAGGAACAAGAAACAGCUGAAGAGACAGAGCAGAGACAGUGAUCCAGCUGCAGUCUACUCAGCAGUGAGAACAACACAAGACGUCACUUAUGGACAAAUAUUCAUCAGAGACAAGAAACACAAGUCAAAGACCAGAGACAGUGAUCCAGCUGCAGUCUACUCAGCAGUGAGAACAACACAAGACGUCACUUAUGGACAAAUAUUCAUCAGAGACAAGAAACACAAGUCAAAGACCAGAGAGAGAGAUCCAGCUGCAGUGAGAACAGAGAACGUCACUUAUGGACAAAUAGCCACCAGACCAAAAAAGAUCAAAGGUUCAGCGGUUCCACCACAACCAGAAGUCGUCUACUCUUCACUGAAGUAGUCCACCCGUCCCCCCACUGAUGUCCAGCUGCUGGACUCUGACUGGUCCCCUCAGUCCCUCAGACCAUAGAAGGCCUGUGGAAAGAUUUUUAUCUGUUUCAGGUCUUUCUAAAUUUUGACUCCCUGAAUUUGGUUUUAUGAAAGUCACACUCCUGACACAGUUGUAAACCUGAAUCUCCCACCCACUGCAUAUUACUGAAUGAACUCCUUCUGUGUUCUAUCUACAGAGGAGAUUAACGGCUUUUCAAUGGCACCAAAUGUGAAGGUGUUUCCUGGUAGUCAAGAGGAUAGAACUUUUCUUAAUGUCUGAGAAGCUGUUUAUUUUGCAUUGCUGUCACUGCUUCCUGUUUAUCUGUAGUCAUUUGCUGUUUCAUUUUUUUUGUUUUGUUUGUUUGUUUGUUUGUUUGUUUUUAACCCUCAUACCUGAUUUUAAAAUUGUUAGGUUGUUACCAUUAAGGGACAAAACAUAUUUUUUUCC